This 1334-nucleotide long non-coding RNA is filed under the name Felis catus (domestic cat). RNAcentral's name for it is "lncRNA (ENSFCAG00000052813.1)". Lineage: Eukaryota; Metazoa; Chordata; Mammalia; Carnivora; Felidae. The record is from RNAcentral.
CUUAAGGCCAGGCUGGUCUCCUGAGUGCUACCCUGUGCUCUGUCCCUCCUAGUCAACAGGGAGGCAUUAGAGCUUACGUCCUGUGGGAAGACAGGGUGCAGAGGGUGGUGCUGCCACCUACUAGAUGUUGUAAGCUUCAGUUGAUCAUCUGUAAAAUGUGGAUAAUAAUGGUACUUACUCUCAAGAUCGUCAUGAGGCCUAAAUGAAACAAUCCACAGAGUUUGAUAUAUAAGUGCUCAGUAUAUAUAUUUUUUAAAUGUGUUGAGUGUGUGUUCGAUUUGUUAAAAUUUUUAAAUGUUUAUUAUUUUUGAGAGAGAGAGAGAGAGAAAGAGAGAGUGCAUGAGUAGGAGACGGACAGAGAGAGAGGGAGACACAGAAUCUGAAGCAGGCUCCAGGCUCUGAGCUGUCAGCACAGAGCCUGAUGUGGUGCUUGAACUCAUGGACCAUGAGAUCAUGACCUGAGCCAAAGCUGGAUGGUUAACCAACUGAGCCACCCAGGCACCCCAGGUCCUCAGUAGAUAUUAACAAUUAUUGUACUGUCCUAGCCCAUAUUUUAUUGGAUAUAGGGGAGGCAAAUAAAAGAGAUUCCCUACUAGCAUGUCAGUUGAGGAUCUGCAUUUCCUCAUUUUUGUAUCUUAAAUCGGCAACCCCAAAAGUUCAUUUGUUUUAUCAUACAAUAUAGUGUUUUGUUUCCUGGAAAUAGAAAGCUUGCUAGGAGCAGUUCUGACAGUUAAAGAUUAAGGUGUGUGUGAGUGGUGUGUACCAUUUACUUGAUAUUUUGCAGAAAGUUUCUUACUGUCUGCUUUUGGUAAUGAGACCGUGUUGGUGGAGGGAUUCCAUGAAGAUUGGAGACUUCUGGCCUAAGACCACUGAAAGCCCAGGGCAGAGAUGGAGACAAAGAGAGGUGGAUUCUUUUAGGUUUUGCCUGACACUGGCAAAAACUUGGGCUGGGACAGAGACUGGAUAUUUGUUGCAUGAGUCAUGGAGAGUGAAAGAUGGGUGAUACCAAGCACAAGAGGGCUGUUUGCUGUGUGCAGGGCAUAGGAAGGGGAUCUUUUUCAACAUUAAUAGAUGCAGAAAUGUGGACUCCUCAGAAACAAAACCUUUGUGGAAACUCAUCAAUAUGGAGCACACAGGACAGAUAAAGAGCAAUGACAUCUUGACACAGGUACGCAUGAGUCAUGCACAUUUUACCAAAGAAUGGAGUAUUUUUACAAAAGCAUUUACAAAUGCUCCAGAAUCUUUAAGGAAACAUUUUGUUACUUUUCAGUAAUUUCUUUUUUGUAAGCGUUGUGUUUGUGUGUUUGUUCCUCCCCGCCCCCCCCCCCCCCCCC